GCCCUAAUAGUAUAAACCAUUACUUUGGUCUUGUAAACCAAAAAUGAAGCUUAUAGCUUCUUAGAGCA
Molecule: transfer RNA, 68 nt
Filed under: Tamias striatus (eastern chipmunk)
Lineage: Eukaryota; Metazoa; Chordata; Mammalia; Rodentia; Sciuridae
Description: tRNA-Thr
Source: RNAcentral